ACGGGAGGCAGCAGUGGGGAAUAUUGGGCAAUGGGGGAAACCCUGACCCAGCAACGCCGCGUGAAGGAAGAAGGCUUUCGGGUUGUAAACUUCUUUUAUCUGUGACGAUAGUGACGGUAGCAGAUGAAUAAGCCACGGCUAACUACGUGCCAGCAGCCGCGGUAAUACGUAGGUGGCAAGCGUUGUCCGGAUUUACUGGGUGUAAAGGGAGCGCAGGCGGGAUAGCAAGUCAGCGGUGAAAAUUAUGGGCUUAACCCAUAAACUGCCGUUGAAACUGUUAUUCUUGAGUGGAGUAGAGGCAGGCGGAAUUCCGAGUGUAGCGGUGAAAUGCGUAGAUAUUCGGAGGAACACCAGUGGCGAAGGCGGCCUGCUGGGCUCUAACUGACGCUGAGGCUCGAAAGUGUGGGGAGCAAACAGGAUUAGAUACCCUGGUA
RNAcentral lists this ribosomal RNA (434 nucleotides) under uncultured Clostridium sp. RNAcentral describes it as "partial 16S ribosomal RNA". It matches the Rfam family "Bacterial small subunit ribosomal RNA", at positions 341 to 792 of the family's 1533-position model. The record is from RNAcentral. Lineage: Bacteria; Bacillati; Bacillota; Clostridia; Eubacteriales; Clostridiaceae.